AAAGCACUUUUGUCCGGAAAGAAAACCUUUGGGCUAAUACCCUGAGGGGAUGACGGUACCGGAAGAAUAAGCACCGGCUAACUACGUGCCAGCAGCCGCGGUAAUACGUAGGGUGCGAGCGUUAAUCGGAAUUACUGGGCGUAAAGCGUGCGCAGGCGGUUCGUUAAGACAGAUGUGAAAUCCCCGGGCUUAACCUGGGAACUGCAUUUGUGACUGGCGAGCUAGAGUAUGGCAGAGGGGGGUAGAAUUCCACGUGUAGCAGUGAAAUGCGUAGAGAUGUGGAGGAAUACCGAUGGCGAAGGCAGCCCCCUGGGCCAAUACUGACGCUCAUGCACGAAAGCGUGGGGAGCAAACAGGAUUAGAUACCCUGGUAGUCCACGCCCUAAACGAUGUCAACUAGUUGUUGGGUCUUCAUUGACUUAGUAACGUAGCUAACGCGUGAAGUUGACCGCCUGGGGAGUACGGUCGCAAGAUUAAAACUCAAAGGAAUUGACGG
This 496-nucleotide ribosomal RNA is filed under the name uncultured bacterium. Its description in RNAcentral is "bacterial SSU rRNA". It matches the Rfam family "Bacterial small subunit ribosomal RNA", at positions 427 to 916 of the family's 1533-position model. The record is from RNAcentral.